GAUGAACGCUGGCGGCGUGCUUAACACAUGCAAGUCGAACGAAGCACCUUAUUCUGAUUUCUUCGGAAUGAAAAAUUCGGUGACUGAGUGGCGGACGGGUGAGUAACGCGUGGGUAACCUGCCUCAUACAGGGGGAUAACAGUUAGAAAUGACUGCUAAUACCGCAUAAGACCACAGCACCGCAUGGUGCAGGGGUAAAAACUCCGGUGGUAUGAGAUGGACCCGCGUCUGAUUAGGUAGUUGGUGGGGUAACGGCCUACCAAGCCGACGAUCAGUAGCCGACCUGAGAGGGUGACCGGCCACAUUGGGACUGAGACACGGCCCAAACUCCUACGGGAGGCAGCAGUGGGGAAUAUUGCACAAUGGGGGAAACCCUGGUGCAGCGACGCCGCGUGAGCGAUGAAGUAUUUCGGUAUGUAAAGCUCUAUCAGCAGGGAAGAAAAUGACGGUACCUGACUAAGAAGCACCGGCUAAAUACGUGCCAGCAGCCGCGGUAAUACGUAUGGUGCAAGCGUUAUCCGGAUUUACUGGGUGUAAAGGGAGCGUAGACGGAGUGGCAAGUCUGAUGUGAAAACCCGGGGCUCAACCCCGGGACUGCAUUGGAAACUGUCAAUCUAGAGUACCGGAGAGGUAAGCGGAAUUCCUAGUGUAGCGGUGAAAUGCGUAGAUAUUAGGAGGAACACCAGUGGCGAAGGCGGCUUACUGGACGGUAACUGACGUUGAGGCUCGAAAGCGUGGGGAGCAAACAGGAUUAGAUACCCUGGUAGUCCACGCCGUAAACGAUGA
Molecule: ribosomal RNA, 786 nt
Filed under: uncultured bacterium
Lineage: Bacteria
Description: bacterial SSU rRNA
Rfam family: Bacterial small subunit ribosomal RNA
Source: RNAcentral